Non-coding RNA from Parelaphostrongylus tenuis, 75 nucleotides. The record is from the annotation of a GenBank genome assembly. Lineage: Eukaryota; Metazoa; Nematoda; Chromadorea; Rhabditida; Metastrongylidae.
GAGUCGGUAGUGCAACGGGUUAGAGCACGCGCUCCUGAAUAGAGUGAGAUGUGGGUUUGAGUACCGCCUGAUGCG